GUACAAGGCUGGAGCUGAAUAACGGCAGCUACUAGCUUCUUACUGAGGUACAGACAGGAGCCGGUUCCCUGGAAAGCAGCGAGCUAGCAAUCCACCUUUGCUUAGUUUAAAACGGAAUUCAAACUUGCUUCCUUGAAGUCCUAAAGGUGUGCCUCCCUGUGCCCCUGCAGCCAGGUGGCAGUGUUCCUGUUUGGGAUGGGCACCCUGACCCUCCAGCUCUUCGUGCUGCUUCGGCCCAGAUCCUCCCGGUACUGCAGUCAGCCUCUCCUGGCCAACCUGGUUGGUAACAUGGUCUUCACCCUGCUCUCACUUGGGCUCUUUGUGCUGCUCACUCAGGCGGAGCUGGCCCCUCUGACUCUGAGGACAACGCUGGCCGUAUUUGGUGUGGCAUCCUUUGGUGAAGGAGUCUGCUCUGGGCUGUUAACACUUCUGGCACCAGACUGCGAGAAAACCACCCCUGAACUUUACUACUUAUCCGUGCUGCUGUCAGUGGGUAGCCUGGUAUCCACGGUGCUUUUCUCUGGCAUGGGGCUCAUCUGGCUGUCCAAAGUGACCUGCCCAAGGUCAGAUGCUAAGCCAACAGUCUGAAGCUUGCCUGUGGGUCCUGCUGGUCUCAUGCCUCAUUUACACGCCUGGGCUGACUGAGUCUGCCCCAGCAGCACCCGCCACAUACCGUCAAGCAUCUCAGAAGAUGAUCUCCUAGCUGCCAUUUCUACAUGAAAUGUCAGCUGCACACCUUGGCCACAUAGGAAGCAGGCCAAAACCAGCCAUCAUGGAAGAAAGUUUCAUACCGAGCGAGGAAGUGAGCUGGUCAACUGCUACCACAGGCUCUCCAUUACAAACAAAUUCAUCUGAAGGAAGAGUGAGGAUUUACACAGUACUGUCGAGAUUGUUAUAUUGACUUUCUAUAAGCCUCAGUUCCUAGAAACCAGGGACGUUAGUAUCUGAGUGGACGAAAGCUGCCGAAGUGGGCAUAGUCAAAAGAAAUCACUUAUCUCAGCCAAGUGAAGUUUCACAUGGAAACAGUGGUUGAGACCUUACAUUCAACAAGAUCAAUGUAUCCA
RNAcentral lists this long non-coding RNA (1064 nucleotides) under Rattus norvegicus (Norway rat). RNAcentral describes it as "long non-coding RNA NONRATT022860". Lineage: Eukaryota; Metazoa; Chordata; Mammalia; Rodentia; Muridae. The record is from RNAcentral.